RNAcentral lists this ribosomal RNA (490 nucleotides) under uncultured bacterium. RNAcentral describes it as "partial 16S ribosomal RNA". It matches the Rfam family "Bacterial small subunit ribosomal RNA", at positions 29 to 506 of the family's 1533-position model. The record is from RNAcentral.
GUGAACGCUGGCGGUAGGCCUAACACCUGCAAGUCGAACGGCAGCACAGUAAGAGCUUGCUCUUACGGGUGGCGAGUGGCGGACGGGUGAGGAAUACAUCGGAAUCUACUUUUUCGUGGGGGAUAACGUAGGGAAACUUACGCUAAUACCGCAUACGACCUACGGGUGAAAGCAGGGGAUCUUCGGACCUUGCGCGAUUGAAUGGGCCGAUGUCGGAUUAGCUAGUUGGCGGGGUAAAGGCCCACCAAGGCGACGAUCCGUAGCUGGUCUGAGAGGAUGAUCAGCCACACUGGAACUGAGACACGGUCCAGACUCCUACGGGAGGCAGCAGUGGGGAAUAUUGGACAAUGGGCGCAAGCCUGAUCCAGCCGUACCGCGUGGGUGAAGAAGGCCCUCGGGUUGUAAAGCCCUUUUGUUGGGAAAGAAAAGCAGCAGGUUAAUACCCCGCUGUUCUGACGGUACCCAAAGAAUAAGCACCGGCUAACUUCGU